UGCCUAAUACAUGCAAGUCGAACGCACUCUCGUUUAGAUUGAAGGAGCUUGCUCCUGAUUGAUAAACAUUUGAGUGAGUGGCGGACGGGUGAGUAACACGUGGGUAACCUGCCCUAAAGUGGGGGAUAACAUUUGGAAACAGAUGCUAAUACCGCAUAAAACCUAACACCGCAUGGUGUAGGGUUGAAAGAUGGUUUCGGCUAUCACUUUAGGAUGGACCCGCGGUGCAUUAGUUAGUUGGUGAGGUAAAGGCUCACCAAGACCGUGAUGCAUAGCCGACCUGAGAGGGUAAUCGGCCACACUGGGACUGAGACACGGCCCAGACUCCUACGGGAGGCAGCAGUAGGGAAUCUUCCACAAUGGACGAAAGUCUGAUGGAGCAACGCCGCGUGAGUGAAGAAGGUUUUCGGAUCGUAAAACUCUGUUGUUGGAGAAGAAUGUAUCUGAUAGUAACUGAUCAGGUAGUGACGGUAUCCAACCAGAAAGCCACGGCUAACUACGUGCCAGCAGCCGCGGUAAUACGUAGGUGGCAAGCGUUGUCCGGAUUUAUUGGGCGUAAAGCGAGCGCAGGCGGUUUCUUAAGUCUGAUGUGAAAGCCUUCGGCUCAACCGAAGAAGUGCAUCGGAAACUGGGAAACUUGAGUGCAGAAGAGGACAGUGGAACUCCAUGUGUAGCGGUGAAAUGCGUAGAUAUAUGGAAGAACACCAGUGGCGAAGGCGGCUGUCUGGUCUGUAACUGACGCUGAGGCUCGAAAGCAUGGGUAGCAAACAGGAUUAGAUACCCUGGUAGUCCA
RNAcentral lists this ribosomal RNA (793 nucleotides) under uncultured Lactobacillus sp. Its description in RNAcentral is "bacterial SSU rRNA". It matches the Rfam family "Bacterial small subunit ribosomal RNA", at positions 45 to 797 of the family's 1533-position model. Lineage: Bacteria; Bacillati; Bacillota; Bacilli; Lactobacillales; Lactobacillaceae. The record is from RNAcentral.